Molecule: long non-coding RNA, 497 nt
Organism: Eublepharis macularius
Lineage: Eukaryota; Metazoa; Chordata; Lepidosauria; Squamata; Eublepharidae
Exons: 2
Source: RefSeq, a predicted model, not a curated record
UUCCGGUCUUGGACGGCCAUCUUGCCCUGUUGGUGCCUAGGAGAGGAGAAGGGAGGUCGCUGCUGUCAUGUCCUUGCAACUGCUGAGUAAGGGGCUGCGGCUGCGGCUGCGGCGCUUAGCCGCCGGCCCUGUCAGGGGCAUCACCUCUAAGCCCCCCCAGGACCCGACGACCCCGCUGGAGAAUUUGAUUGGCUUCACUACUUUCUUUCUGGCGAUCAUGGGACCUUCUGGUUAUAUCAUGGCAAAUCUCGAAAGCUACAAGAGUAGAGAAUGAGAAGGGAAAACCAAGCUCCUGUCCUGAAGAACAGCUGCGAUCUCUCAGCUCAGCCGCAUGAUUUCGUUCCAGAAGAGGAGGCUGGCAUCUCCCAUGCCCUUACUCCAUGAGGACCAGUGUCCUGAAAUAUUACUCUGUGCCGUUUCCUGGACCACCGAAGAUGUAGUUCAGGAGAGGUGCUCUGAGGAGACUUACGAUCUGUUACAAUAAAUCAUACUAAUGA